This 43-nucleotide transfer RNA is filed under the name Calcidiscus leptoporus. RNAcentral describes it as "partial Selenocysteine transfer RNA". The record is from RNAcentral. Lineage: Eukaryota; Haptophyta; Coccolithales; Calcidiscaceae.
ACGGGCUGGUGCCGGGAGUGGACUUCAAGGCUGCGAUGGAGGC